RNAcentral lists this ribosomal RNA (693 nucleotides) under Abavorana luctuosa (mahogany frog). RNAcentral's name for it is "partial 16S ribosomal RNA". The stretch from base 213 to 693 matches the Rfam family "Bacterial large subunit ribosomal RNA", at positions 569 to 1221 of the family's 2925-position model. The record is from RNAcentral. Lineage: Eukaryota; Metazoa; Chordata; Amphibia; Anura; Ranidae.
CCCCUCGCUUACACCGAGAUGACAUCUGUUGAACCCAGAUCAUUUUGAGCUUAAAAUCUAGCUUUACUGUAUCCCAUGCAUCUCUAAACUAUUGCCCUCUUAUAAAACAUUUAAACAUCUUAGUACAGGAGAUUGAAAAAUUACUAAACGCUUCAGACAAAGUACCGCAAGGGAAAAAUGAAAUAAAAAUGAAAUAACCUUAUGCCCCAAACAGCAGAGACAUCCCCUCGUACCUUUUGCAUCAUGGUCCGGCCAGUCUAACCAAGCAAAAUGAAACCUUAAGUUUGACACCCCGAAACUAAGCGAGCUACUUCAAAACAGCCCAAGGGCCAACCCGUCUCUGUUGCAAAAGAGUGGGAAGAUUUUCAAGUAGAGGUGAUAAACCUACCGAGCUUAGAGAUAGCUGGUUGUUCAGGAAAAGAGUUUAAGCUCUACCCUAAGUUUCCAUGUUACACCUAACACCCUCCUAAACUUAAGAGCUAUUCAAAUAAGGUACAGCUUAUUUGAAACAGGACACAACCUCCUACAUCGGGUAAGCAAGAUUCACCAAAACAAAGUGGGCCUAAAAGCAGCCACCUUUAAAAAAGCGUUAAAGCUUAACUUUCUCCAUCUACAAUCCCACAAUUUAUUCUCAACCCUUCAUCCCUACUGAACCCUUUUAUAUCUAUAUAAAAAUUAUUAUGCUUGAACUAG